Molecule: ribosomal RNA, 400 nt
Filed under: uncultured bacterium
Lineage: Bacteria
Description: bacterial SSU rRNA
Rfam family: Bacterial small subunit ribosomal RNA
Source: RNAcentral
AGGGAAUCUUGCGCAAUGGGCGAAAGCCUGACGCAGCGACGCCGCGUGAGGGACGAAGGCCUUCGGGUCGUAAACCUCUGUCCUUGGGGACGAUGAUGACGGUACCCAAGGAGGAAGCCCCGGCUAACUACGUGCCAGCAGCCGCGGUAAUACGUAGGGGGCGAGCGUUGUCCGGAAUUAUUGGGCGUAAAGGGUGCGUAGGCGGCUUGGCAAGUCCUGUGUGAAAGGUCGCGGCUUAACCGCGGUGGGUCAUGGGAAACUGCUAAGCUUGAGUGCCGGAGAGGAUAGCGGAAUUCCACGUGUAGCGGUGAAAUGCGUAGAUAUGUGGAGGAACACCAGUGGCGAAGGCGGCUAUCUGGAAGGUAACUGACGCUGAGGCACGACAGCUGGGGGAGCAAAC